AGGUUGCAGGAGCGGUCUGGCUGUGACACUGUGUCACCCCCUUUGUCAUCAGUGUCGAUGUGGCUGAUCUGUCUGGAUAGGUGGGUUAUCUGUUUCCUCCCUCACCAUUCUACUCAGAGCCUUCUGAAGCUUCCUGGUGAGUGGAAGAGGACAAACUUCCCAGAUAGAGGAGGGCCUUUCUCUGGACAAUGGUAUGUGGGAAGCCCCUGCAAGACCUCCAAAUUAGCUCUUGGGGCUGCUUAAAUCAAGACACAAAACCCUUAAGGCUCUAAAGAACAUGAAGAAUUUGUAAUGGUAGAAUUCCAGACACCAUGAGACAGUAGGAGAGAGGUUUUCGCCUUUCAAA
Molecule: unclassified non-coding RNA, 346 nt
Organism: Cricetulus griseus (Chinese hamster)
Lineage: Eukaryota; Metazoa; Chordata; Mammalia; Rodentia; Cricetidae
Gene: 7SK
Rfam family: 7SK RNA
About the family: 7SK was discovered as an abundant small nuclear RNA in the mid-70s but a possible function has only recently been suggested. Two independent studies have found that 7SK RNA binds the CDK9/cyclin T complex (known as elongation factor P-TEFb).
Source: Ensembl